AAAAUUUAAUUACUUGUAACUUUGUGUAGACAUGGUCGAUUGUUUCCAUUUUUGGACGUAAAGACUAAAGUUCUUUGUAGAGUAAAUAAGGAAGAUCUGAGCCUUCCUACUUUAAUAAUUUCCGAGCAACGAGCAAAAACCAAAGAUUUUUGUUAAAAAAAACGGAUUUUGGAUCAGUUUACGCUCCACUGGCCCAUUUUCCAUAAAAAUCUGUGCAAAAUUUCCAAUGUUUUUACCAGGAGAGUUCCAACAUCCAGACACACGGACGGACAUGGAGAGACAUGGAGAGGAGAACUAGCAACGAACUUGUCCCAAGGAAUUGUGGGCUUACUUUGCAAUGUAGUUGGGUAGCUAAUUUUAAACCCUAAUGGAGCAAUUUGUUCGGGAGCCAGUUUCAUCCCCUCUUAUAUAAAUAUUACCAGCCGAUUUAUUUGCUUUAUAGACUCCGUUGUUCUAUGUAAAGAAUUACCUAAACUAUGUACUUUCACGUGGCCCAGACUAUGAUAACAGCGAUCGGAAGGACUUUGCGGAACCAGCAUGGCAGAACCACCACUAAAAAUAAAAAUUUUUGCUCAGGUUCAUCUGUAUGUAAGUCCGGUCUUCACAAUUCUGAGAGAGCGUUUCUGGAACCCCUUCUGCAUACAUACAGCUAAAAGGGUCGAAACUUGAACAUAAAACUUAGGACUCUCUACAAACUGUUAAAACUGUCGGUUGACAAACUGCCUACCGCUGUCCGUAAUAAGUACUUUGGGUGCCACAAAUCUGGAUAUAAUCCCCUCUCUGAAUGCCGUCAUCAGUGCCGAGGUAGGAAUUUCGGUUUAUUUGGUGAAUCGGUCUAUCAUCACCAAGACUACAGUGUGUUCCGCGUUGGAUUUCGGUAGCCGGCCAACAAAAUCUGCGCUGACCGUACUCCAGCACACUUGUAGCAGUUGAAUCAGCAUCUAGCCUGCAUGCUUCUGUUGCCUGACUUUCUUACAGUGAGCCUGACAAUGGUCACGUUAUAAUUUGGUAUGCAUUGGGACAAUGGAGUCGGAAAAUUGGUAUUUACGGGCAGCAUUGUAAGCAAAGAGGAUGUUUUAAGGAUGUGAAAGAAAAAUUUGAAAGAAAGAGCGGAUAAACUAGGUUUUUUGGAAACAUUCAAAUUCUUCGAAGAUAACGCACACAAGGGUAAAUCCCGCUUAAUUCAAGAUUUGCUGUUGUAUAACUGUCGCAAAGUGCUUCAACCUCUUCCACAGGUCACCAGGUAUAAACCCUUUUGAAAAUAAGUGGGAUGAAUUGGACCGCCAUACGUGAAAACACUCAAUCCCUUGCGCC
Glossina fuscipes is the source of this 1314-nucleotide long non-coding RNA. RefSeq lists it as uncharacterized. Lineage: Eukaryota; Metazoa; Arthropoda; Insecta; Diptera; Glossinidae. The transcript has 5 exons. The record is from RefSeq and is a predicted model, not a curated record.